Molecule: unclassified non-coding RNA, 358 nt
Filed under: soil metagenome
Description: partial contains 5.8S ribosomal RNA, internal transcribed spacer 2, and large subunit ribosomal RNA
Rfam family: 5.8S ribosomal RNA (bases 1-120)
Source: RNAcentral
GAUGAAGAACGUAGCGAAAUGCGAUAAGUAAUGUGAAUUGCAGAAUUCAGUGAAUCAUCGAAUCUUUGAACGCACAUUGCGCCCGUCAGUAUUCUGGCGGGCAUGCCUGUUCGAGCGUCAUUUCGCCCCUCAAGUCCCCUGUGGACUUGGUGUUGGGGAUCGGCGAGGCUGGUUUUCCAGCACAGCCGUCCCUUAAAUUAAUUGGCGGUCUCGCCGUGGCCCUCCUCUGCGCAGUAGUAAAACACUCGCAACAGGAGCCCGGCGCGGUCCACUGCCGUAAAACCCCCCAACUUUUUAUAGUUGACCUCGAAUCAGGUAGGACUACCCGCUGAACUUAAGCAUAUCAAUAAGCGGAGGA